CAGCAGCCGCGGUAAUACAGAGGGUGCAAGCGUUAAUCGGAAUUACUGGGCGUAAAGGGAGCGUAGGUGGCUCGAUAAGUCAGAUGUGAAAUCCCCGGGCUCAACCUGGGAACUGCAUCUGAUACUGUUGAGCUAGAGUAUGUGAGAGGAAGGUAGAAUUCCAGGUGUAGCGGUGAAAUGCGUAGAGAUCUGGAGGAAUACCGAUGGCGAAGGCAGCCUUCUGGCAUAAUACUGACACUGAGGCUCGAAAGCGUGGGUAGCAAACAGGAUUAGAUACCCUGGUAGUCCACGCCGUAAACGAUGUCUACUAGUCGUUGGGUCCCUUGAGGACUUAGUGACGCCGCUAACGCAAUAAGUAGACCGCCUGGGGAGUACGGCCGCAAGGUUAAAACUCAAAUGAAUUGACGGGGGCCCGCACAAGCGGUGGAGCAUGUGGUUUAAUUCGAUGCAACGCGAAGAACCUUACCUGGUCUUGACAUAUCUAGAAUCCUGCAGAGAUGCGGGAGUGCCUUCGGGAAUUAAAAUACAGGUGCUGCAUGGCUGUCGUCAGCUCGUGUCGUGAGAUGUUGGGUUAAGUCCC
This 580-nucleotide ribosomal RNA is filed under the name uncultured Psychrobacter SIC.10359. RNAcentral describes it as "bacterial SSU rRNA". It matches the Rfam family "Bacterial small subunit ribosomal RNA", at positions 509 to 1088 of the family's 1533-position model. Lineage: Bacteria; Pseudomonadati; Pseudomonadota; Gammaproteobacteria; Moraxellales; Moraxellaceae. The record is from RNAcentral.